UGAGAGCUCUGUUAAAUAAUCCCACGG
Molecule: non-coding RNA, 27 nt
Filed under: Mus musculus (house mouse)
Lineage: Eukaryota; Metazoa; Chordata; Mammalia; Rodentia; Muridae
Source: RNAcentral